AGAGUUUGAUCCUGGCUCAGGACGAACGCUGGCGGCGUGCUUAACACAUGCAAGUCGAACGAGACGAUUGAAAGCUUGCUUUUGAAAGUCGAGUGGCAAACGGGUGAGUAACGCGUAGACAACCUGCCGUAAAGAUGGGGACAACAGUCCGAAAGGACUGCUAAUACCGAAUGUUGUGGAACUUCCGCAUGGGGGCUCCACUAAAGAUGGCCUCUACUUGUAAGCUAUCGCUUUACGAUGGGUCUGCGUCUGAUUAGCUAGUUGGUGGGGUAACGGCUUACCAAGACGACGAUCAGUAGCCGGUCUGAGAGGAUGAACGGCCACAUUGGAACUGAGACACGGUCCAGACUCCUACGGGAGGCAGCAGUGGGGAAUCUUCCGCAAUGGGCGCAAGCCUGACGGAGCAACGCCGCGUGAGUGAAGAAGGGUUUCGACUCGUAAAGCUCUGUUGUCGGGGACGAAUGUCAGGACUCAAAAUAUGGGUUCUGAAUGACGGUACCUGACGAGGAAGCCACGGCUAACUACGUGCCAGCAGCCGCGGUAAUACGUNNUGGCGAGCGUUGUCCGGAAUUAUUGGGCGUAAAGGGAGCGCNNCGGGAGGUCANUCUAUUCUUAAAAGUGCGGGGCUCAACCCGUGAGGGNNGGAACUGGNCUUCUUG
RNAcentral lists this ribosomal RNA (659 nucleotides) under uncultured bacterium. RNAcentral's name for it is "bacterial SSU rRNA". It matches the Rfam family "Bacterial small subunit ribosomal RNA", at positions 8 to 644 of the family's 1533-position model. The record is from RNAcentral.